CCUACGGGAGGCAGCAGUGGGGAAUAUUGGGCAAUGGGCGCAAGCCUGACCCAGCGACGCCGCGUGAGGGAAGACGGUCUUCGGAUUGUAAACCUCUUUCAGCAGGGAAGACAAAAGGACGGUACCUGCAGAAGAAGCCACGGCUAACUACGUGCCAGCAGCCGCGGUAAUACGUAGGUGGCAAGCGUUAUCCGGAAUUACUGGGUGUAAAGGGUGUGGUGGCGGGGCUGCAAGUCAGUUGUGAAAAUUAUGGGCUCAACCCAUAACCUGCGUCUGAAACUGUAGCUGUUGCGAGGGGGGGAGGUAAACGGAAGUCCCGGUGUAGCGGGGAAAUGCGUAGAUAUCGGGAGGAAAAACAGUGGCGAAGGCGGUUUAAUGGACCACAACUGACGCUGAGACACGAAAGCGUGGGGAGCAAACAGGAUUAGAUACCCCGGUAGUC
RNAcentral lists this ribosomal RNA (442 nucleotides) under uncultured bacterium. RNAcentral describes it as "partial 16S ribosomal RNA". It matches the Rfam family "Bacterial small subunit ribosomal RNA", at positions 338 to 795 of the family's 1533-position model. The record is from RNAcentral.